AGGACGAACGCUGGCGGCGUGCUUAACACAUGUAAGUCGAGCGGAAAGGCCCUUCGGGGUACUCGAGCGGCGAACGGGUGAGUAACACGUGAGUAAUCUGCCCCUAGCUCUGGGAUAGCUCCGGGAAACCGGGAUUAAUACCAGAUACGACCACUUUAGACAUCUGUUGUGGUGGAAAGAAUUUUGGCUAGGGAUGAGCUCGCGGCCUAUCAGCUUGUUGGUGAGGUAACGGCUCACCAAGGCGACGACGGGUAGCCGGCCUGAGAGGGCGACCGGCCACACUGGGACUGAGACACGGCCCAGACUCCUACGGGAGGCAGCAGUGGGGAAUAUUGCGCAAUGGGCGAAAGCCUGACGCAGCGACGCCGCGUGGGGGAUGAAGGCCUUCGGGUUGUAAACCCUUUCAGCAGGACGAAGCGAAAGUGACGGUACCUGCAGAAGAAGACGCCGGCUAACUACGUGCCAGCAGCCGC
This 473-nucleotide ribosomal RNA is filed under the name uncultured bacterium. RNAcentral's name for it is "SSU rRNA". It matches the Rfam family "Bacterial small subunit ribosomal RNA", at positions 26 to 518 of the family's 1533-position model. The record is from RNAcentral.